This 76-nucleotide transfer RNA is filed under the name Sphingosinicellaceae bacterium. RNAcentral describes it as "tRNA-Lys". It matches the Rfam family "tRNA". Rfam says of the family: Transfer RNA (tRNA) molecules are approximately 80 nucleotides in length. Their secondary structure includes four short double-helical elements and three loops (D, anti-codon, and T loops). Lineage: Bacteria; Pseudomonadati; Pseudomonadota; Alphaproteobacteria; Sphingomonadales; Sphingosinicellaceae. The record is from RNAcentral.
GAGCCCUUAGCUCAAUCGGUAGAGCAACUGACUUUUAAUCAGUAGGUUGCGGAUUCGAGUUCCGCAGGGCUCACCA